UAGUGCUUAGAUUAUACACCUAUAGAUGUAACCACUAAAAUGACUUUCCUUGAAAGAGCGAGAUCGUUAAUUGUCAAACCCAUGCAAAGAAACAGGACAGAAUAUAUAGUUUUUGUCUUUGUCGACAUGGCCGGUUUUAUUGUUUGGCAAGAUCUGAGUUGUGACAAACAAACUUGGCGUCUUUUGGAUUUUUCUGUGAUUGUGUGAAUUUACAGUGUUUAUUGCGUAUAAAAAUUGGAUAAUACAGAAUAUUUAGUGUACGUGCGAUGGUGGGUUGCAGUGUUUUGGGUUGUAAAAGCCGGAGUGAGCGAAAAAUUGAAGGAAUAACAUUUCACACGUUUCCAUCCAAUAUUGAUAAGAGAAAUGGCUGGAUGCCACUGGACGAGAAAAUUGGCUGCCAACAAAAUAUUCAAAAAUUUGUUCCAUUCAUUUUGAUGAUGAUUCAUUACUGUAUAAAAAUAAACAAGUACAAUUAAAACCUCACUCAAGCCUGCCAAGCUGUACUUAUUUCAUUAUGUAUAUAGUAAUAAAUAAUAAACAUGUUUAUGUUA
Colias croceus (clouded yellow) is the source of this 551-nucleotide long non-coding RNA. RefSeq lists it as uncharacterized. The transcript is spliced from 2 exons. NCBI's taxonomy places the organism in Eukaryota, Metazoa, Arthropoda, Insecta, Lepidoptera, Pieridae. The record is from RefSeq and is a predicted model, not a curated record.